GAGCAAAAGAAGGACUUGCAUAUGGUGUUCAUUGACUUGGAGAAGGCCUAUGAUAAGAUACCGCGGAAUGUCAUGUGGUGGGCCUUGGAGAAACACAAAGUCCCAACAAAGUACAUUACCCUCAUCAAGGACAUGUACGAUAAUGUUGUGACAAGUGUUCGAACAAGUGAUGUCGACACCGAUGACUUUCCGAUUAAGAUAGGACUGCAUCAGGGGUCAGCUUUGAGCCCUUAUCUUUUUGCAUUGGUGAUGGAUGAGGUCACAAGGGAUAUACAAGGAGAUAUCCCAUGGUGUAUGCUCUUUGCAGAUGAUGUGGUGCUAGUUGACGAUAGUCGGACGGGGGUAAAUAGGAAGUUAGAGUUAUGGAGACAAACCUUGGAAUCGAAAGGGUUUAGGCUUAGUAGAACUAAAACCGAGUACAUGAUGUGCGGUUUCAGUACUGCUAGGUGUGAGGAGGAGGAGGUUAGCCUUGAUGGCCAGGUGGUACCUCGGAAGGACACCUUUCGGUAUUUGGGGUCAAUGUUGCAGGAGGAUGGGGGUAUUGAUGAAGAUGUGAACCAUCGAAUCAAAGCCGGAUGGAUGAAGUGG
Molecule: ribosomal RNA, 588 nt
Filed under: Triticum aestivum (bread wheat)
Lineage: Eukaryota; Viridiplantae; Streptophyta; Magnoliopsida; Poales; Poaceae
Description: partial small subunit ribosomal RNA
Source: RNAcentral